UGCGUAGGCGGCGCGGUAAGUCGGGUGUGAAAUCUCGGAGCUUAACUCCGAAACUGCAUUCGAUACUGCCGUGCUUGAGGACUGGAGAGGAGACUGGAAUUUACGGUGUAGCAGUGAAAUGCGUAGAGAUCGUAAGGAAGACCAGUGGCGAAGGCGGGUCUCUGGACAGUUCCUGAUACUGAGGCACGAAGGCCAGGGGAGGCAAACG
Molecule: ribosomal RNA, 208 nt
Filed under: uncultured bacterium
Lineage: Bacteria
Description: partial 16S ribosomal RNA
Rfam family: Bacterial small subunit ribosomal RNA
Source: RNAcentral